AAUGUGUUUGAUUUAAUAACCAAAAUCUUUCAAGCCAUGGGAUUGGGGGAAUAAUACCAGAAGCUUCUUUGGGACAUUGGGCACCACUGAUCUAUUUGGGGAAAAUAAGCUCUUAUUAUUAUUAUUAUUUGUAAAAAAGCUUGUCUAUGUGAAUGUCUUCUCUUUCCAUGGGUGGCCUAAAGAAUGCUAUGGGAAUUUCGGGGUGUGCGUGCUGGGCACUGCCAUGGAGCUUGAAUCUUAUUUAAUGCUUGUAACAGCCCUCUGAGGGAGGGAUGUGUUUUACAAAUGAGAUGUAAGAGAAGUUAGGAAAUUUGUCUAAUGUCAAGAGUUGGGAGUGAGGAUCUAAACAGCAGCCUUCUGAUCCUAAAGCACAAGCUGCUUUCACAGCCUCAUGCUCCCUCUCUUGUCAGGUUUCCUGUGGAGGGUGGCAUGUGAUCUCCCUUGAGGCCUUCAGGGAUGGUGGAUUGUCAGCAGGUAAAGGGGUGGGGUUCACAGGAAGGAAGGGCCUGAGCAAAAACUCAGGGGCUGGGAAGAACUUGGCAGAUGAGGACAUGCCAGGAGUCCCAGGGGCGCCGCUACUGGAGAGCACGCAGAGGAGUAGUGGGAGGAAGACAGGAGGGUUUGUGGGGGCUAAAUUGUAUAGAGCCUUGCCUCUCACAAUUUACGCUGCAGGUACUUAUCCAAGGAGGAUAUUUGAGUCUCUAGAGAAACACGAUAUUUCUUUCGGAGCAUCAGUUUUUCUUGAGGUGAAUAAUUUUAAACAUCUUCAUAUUAAAAGAAAUUCAGAUAUGUCAUGGACUAGAAUGCAAAAUUCUCAUGAAUUUUUAAGAGAAAACAGAAGACUUCAAAGAGAGCUUGGGUGUGCUGGCAGGAGCUUCGGGCUAUGCGGUCCCUGGGGGGAACUGAAGGCAUUUCUUUUGUCUGCUGUUGGUGUACUUCAGCAGGAACGUUUGAGAAGCACUGAUUUUAUUAAAAUGUUUUGAUCCCAGCAUUAAAAUAAUUAGGCAUAUUUCAAGAAGGGUGGCAGGGGCUUGGAAGACAGGUUGGACAGGGCAGGGACUGAGAGCAGGAGAUCAGAUCAGACAGUUGCAAUAAAAUCUCAGGAGACAUGAAGGGCUUAGGGGCUGCCUGGCUCUCAGACCCCAGCUCUUCACUUCAGGCCUUUUUGGAGGGGGCCUGACUGAGAGAUGCCCCACCCCAAAGCCACUCCUUUUAAGGGGCUCAUCGAUUAGACUAGGAUGGCUGGCCAGGGAGGCUGUAGCAGAAGCAGUUAAGGGAGACCCUGGGGCUGGGCUAGAAGCUGGCCCCACAGAGAACUUUGGGCCCUGGCCACCUCACCCAUGCUGCCCAGUGAACACCUUCCAGCCCAGCAGGUUUAUUAGCUCAUCUCCCAGAGGGUACCACAAGGCAAGUGGUUGGACCAGUGAUUCUUUAGGGUAGGGGUGAGGGGAGUGCCUGUCUUGUGGCAGUGUUCUGCUGUCUUAUGCUGGUGGGCAGUGCCAUUGGACCCAGCAUGGUGGCCAACAGCUGAUGGUCAAGAAAAACUCAAAGGGAGGUAGGAGGGAAUAAGACAUCUCAGCUUAGGACUACUACUGCGCUCUGCUUCUCCUUAUCAUCAGUAGAUGGAGCCCACCUUACUUAGCCAGAUUCUCCUUUUGGAUGGGUGACAUUUUUAGGUAGUUUAGAAUUUAACUCUUGAAGCAUAAUUUUUAAAACAUUAAAAAAUGUCUUAGUGCUUUGGUUUUCCCCCUCAUUUUAGAAGGGAUUGUUUUUGGUAGAGCAGUGAGAAAAUCCUGACCAUCAAAAAGAAGAAAACCAAAAAAAACACCUAGAAUUCCACUACCCAAAGGUAACCACAGUAAACAAAUACCCUGGUGUGUAUAUUCCCCCAAUUUUUCUAAGCAUUUACUUUUUUUUUUAAAAAAUGGUGUCAUCUUGUAUACUCUGCUUUAUUUAUGCCAUAUAUAUAUAUUUCUUCACUUACUGUGAGUCUCUCACACUAAUGAAUAUUUUUCUAUAAUGUAAUUAUCUGUGAUUGAAAAUAUUCCACAGACUGCAUGUCACCUUUAAUGUCUCUUGUUAUAUAUUUUGGUUGUUUCCAGAUUUUCAUUAUUAAAUACAAUGUGAUGAACUUGUUUGUGGCUAAAUCUUUCACAAGGCAAUAUUACAAAUAAUUUAUAUCUUAUAAAUAACUGUUUCAUUGCAGAAAAGUAGAAGCACUGAUUUUGGGUAAAAUGUUUUGAAGUUAAGACAUGAAAAAAAUUGAGCACCUGUAAUCCUACCAUGAGGAAAUUGCAUCUGUUUACUGUUCAGGACCUAUCCUUACAGAUUUUAUUCUGCACAUAUAUUAAUAUCUACACACAAAUACAUGUACCAAAUAAAGCCUAUAAGUCUGGUAUAGAUAACAUUUUUAUUAAAAUGACAUUUUAUUAUUGCAUUGGCAUUUUAUUAUUGGCAACCUGCUUUUCCUUCUUAAUAUAUACUGGCUAUCCUUGUCAUUAAACAGCGUACAAUAUUAUUUUAUUGUUUUCUAAUAAUACAUGAUAUAAUACACAUUUAUUUAUCCUAUUGUUUAUUUGAGCUUUUCCUGGAGUAUUCGUCUUUUUAUUUUUGCAAGAGGUCUUUAAAUAUUAAGGCUAUUUAAUUCUUUGUCAUAGUGCAGGUAUCUUUUCUGGAUCAUUAUUUUUCCUUGAGGCUUGUUUAAGGUAAGGUUUUUUCCACUUUGUUUUGUAAUUAUAGAAAUAAAACAUGACUGUUGUACACAAUUUAGAAAAUAUAGAUAAAAAGAAAAAUAAUUAAAAUGCAAUGGCCCUAAAUCUUCCCAGUUAGAGAUAACUCCUAUUAAUUUUUAGAGUGUGUCUUUCUAGAUUUUCCUAUCUCCCAAGAUUAUGGAAAUUAUUAUAAAAGAAUAUGACCGUAUAGAUACAUGAUUUUUUAAAAAAGAAAAUUGACCUUAUUCUGUAUGUAUUUCUAUGACCUAAUUUAUGUACUAAAUUUAUUUAGAAAAUCUUUCAUGUCAACACAAGUGAAUCUGCACAAUUAUGUAUUAAUCUCACUUUAUUUACUUAUUUAUUUUUUUGUCUUUUGUCUUUUUUAGGGCAUACCCACAGCAUAUGGAGGUUCCCAGGCUAGGGGUCUAAUCGGAGCUGUAGCUGCCAGCCUAGCCACAGCCACAGCAACGCCAGAUCCAAGCUGCAUCUGCGACCUAUACCAGAGUUCACAGCAACACCAGAUCCUUAACCUACUGAGCGAGGCCAGUGAUCAAACCUGCAACCUAAUCGUUCCUAGUUGGAUUCGUUUCCGCUGCGCCACGCCGGGAA
Molecule: long non-coding RNA, 3320 nt
Filed under: Sus scrofa (pig)
Lineage: Eukaryota; Metazoa; Chordata; Mammalia; Artiodactyla; Suidae
Description: lncRNA (ENSSSCG00000059878.1)
Source: RNAcentral